Molecule: unclassified non-coding RNA, 407 nt
Filed under: fungal sp.
Lineage: Eukaryota; Fungi
Description: partial internal transcribed spacer region
Source: RNAcentral
AAGUAACAAGGUUUCCGUAGGAGCAAGAUUAACGGGUUCAAAGGGGUGUUUUUAACGUUGGAUACGUGUUAAUGAUCCUUCCGCAGGUUCCCUCACGCCCUGCACGCCUAGCAAUCUGGUAAAUCAUUGUCUGAACAGAUUUGGAGUCAGGGACUUCUGACGCAAAGAAUGGGACAACUCCAUCUGCGUGGGAUGUUUGCGACGUAGCAAAUCACUUGGCUCCCCAAGCAACCAUGUUUCUAAAAGCGGCUCAUGGAAGCAUAACAUUUUGCUGUAGGCCCACAUGGCCGGCAAUCCAAGUGGUUGUACUUCGGUACAUACAUCGGUACACCCCCGAUGAGAACGUCAAUUUAGCGAAUGGACUAAAAGCCUCGCAACAAAAACCGAACAAGGAUAUCUUGGUUCUC